This 1093-nucleotide long non-coding RNA is filed under the name Vigna radiata. Its description in RNAcentral is "long non-coding RNA (VRAD_LNC007414)". Lineage: Eukaryota; Viridiplantae; Streptophyta; Magnoliopsida; Fabales; Fabaceae. The record is from RNAcentral.
UGUAAACGUAAGCAGUGAAAUAUAUAUGAACUAAUUAUUUGCAGCAAUUUCUUAUAUACGUAAGCUAUCAUGGUACAAUUAACGUAGCUCCUUCAAUUGUCAGCUAAGAAGAUAAAUUACGUUAUAUAUAUAUAUAUAUAGCUUCUUCUUCCUCAACUUAUUUCCAAGCAAACAAGCUAGGGUUUUAAUACAUUCGCAGAUUAACUAGUGACAGGAGCACGAAUUGUCGCCAACAUCUCUUAUCUUUUAAGCUGCGGGGGCAUAAUCAUAAUCACCGUCAUCAUCUUUAUCAUCAUCAUCAUCGGCUUCGAAAAUAGUCAUGAGUUGGUACGCAAACCAUUCUGGAUGAUAGUAAACAUUAUCUUGAUCGUGCAAAAGUUUUUGAACCAGCGACCCCAUUACAGAAAGAAAAGAAAGUAGAAGCGAAAGGAUGGUUUAUAAUAGAAAUGAUAAUAAUGUAAGAAAAAUAUGAAGUGACUUGGUUAAUUGAUGGAGGUUGGUGAGGUAUAUAUAUAUAGUGAUUCGAAGCUUUUAACGUUAAGGUAAAUUGCUUUAGAGCUUCUGGAGGGAGGAGAUAGGCACGUGGAAAAAUGCGCCUUAACGUUGAUGAGUGCGCGUCAGACACGAGAGAACAAAUCCUAGGUGGCAUGUUACGAAGCAGUUGCUAAAUCUCGUAAAGUUAACAUAUCGAAUCUAUGUUGUUUUGGAAGGUAGUGGGAGAGAAGAGUGAGGACAUUUAAGUCUGUGUAUACAGUGUAAAGGAUUAAGGUUCCCAUCACAAACCCUAAUCCCUUAUUUCUGACCAAUUAGUUAUUUCGUCACGUCCAAUGAUAUUUUUGUCACUAUAAACUUUCUCACAAAAAAAGAAACUGAUAACCCUUUUGUAGAUAACAGAGUGGAGGAUAGGAUGAUUUAAAACUAAAUCUGGAAAAAGAAAAAAGGUGUGUGAUGGCAUACCAAGGAUAGCUUAAAAACCCACAUGACGUGUCUCCAACAUUUCUCACCCUUUAUGUCUUUAUCUACUUCCUUAAACUAGGUUUUGUUUGGUAUUAUAACAAAAAUAGAUAAAUUUAUAAGAUAUUUAAUUAAUAAU